UUAAGCGACUAAGCGUACACGGUGGAUGCCCUGGCAGUCAGAGGCGAUGAAGGACGUGCUAAUCUGCGAUAAGCGUCGGUGAGGUGAUAUGAACCGUUAUAACCGGCGAUUUCCGAAUGGGGAAACCCAGUGUGUUUCGACACACUAUCAUUAACUGAAUCCAUAGGUUAAUGAGGCGAACCGGGGGAACUGAAACAUCUAAGUACCCCGAGGAAAAGAAAUCAACCGAGAUUCCCCCAGUAGCGGCGAGCGAACGGGGAGGAGCCCAGAGCCUGAAUCAGUGUGUGUGUUAGUGGAAGCGUCUGGAAAGGCGCGCGAUACAGGGUGACAGCCCCGUACACAAAAAUGCACAUGCUGUGAGCUCGAUGAGUAGGGCGGGACACGUGGUAUCCUGUCUGAAUAUGGGGGGACCAUCCUCCAAGGCUAAAUACUCCUGACUGACCGAUAGUGAACCAGUACCGUGAGGGAAAGGCGAAAAGAACCCCGGCGAGGGGAGUGAAAAAGAACCUGAAACCGUGUACGUACAAGCAGUGGGAGCCUCUUAAUGGGGUGACUGCGUACCUUUUGUAUAAUGGGUCAGCGACUUAUAUUCUGUAGCAAGGUUAACCGAAUAGGGGAGCCGAAGGGAAACCGAGUCUUAACUGGGCGUUAAGUUGCAGGGUAUAGACCCGAAACCCGGUGAUCUAGCCAUGGGCAGGUUGAAGGUUGGGUAACACUAACUGGAGGACCGAACCGACUAAUGUUGAAAAAUUAGCGGAUGACUUGUGGCUGGGGGUGAAAGGCCAAUCAAACCGGGAGAUAGCUGGUUCUCCCCGAAAGCUAUUUAGGUAGCGCCUCGUGAAUUCAUCUCCGGGGGUAGAGCACUGUUUCGGCAAGGGGGUCAUCCCGACUUACCAACCCGAUGCAAACUGCGAAUACCGGAGAAUGUUAUCACGGGAGACACACGGCGGGUGCUAACGUCCGUCGUGAAGAGGGAAACAACCCAGACCGCCAGCUAAGGUCCCAAAGUCAUGGUUAAGUGGGAAACGAUGUGGGAAGGCCCAGACAGCCAGGAUGUUGGCUUAGAAGCAGCCAUCAUUUAAAGAAAGCGUAAUAGCUCACUGGUCGAGUCGGCCUGCGCGGAAGAUGUAACGGGGCUAAACCAUGCACCGAAGCUGCGGCAGCGACACUAUGUGUUGUUGGGUAGGGGAGCGUUCUGUAAGCCUGUGAAGGUAGCCUGUGAGGGUUGCUGGAGGUAUCAGAAGUGCGAAUGCUGACAUAAGUAACGAUAAAGCGGGUGAAAAGCCCGCUCGCCGGAAGACCAAGGGUUCCUGUCCAACGUUAAUCGGGGCAGGGUGAGUCGACCCCUAAGGCGAGGCCGAAAGGCGUAGUCGAUGGGAAACAGGUUAAUAUUCCUGUACUUGGUGUUACUGCGAAGGGGGGACGGAGAAGGCUAUGUUGGCCGGGCGACGGUUGUCCCGGUUUAAGCGUGUAGGCUGGUUUUCCAGGCAAAUCCGGAAAAUCAAGGCUGAGGCGUGAUGACGAGGCACUACGGUGCUGAAGUGACAAAUGCCCUGCUUCCAGGAAAAGCCUCUAAGCAUCAGGUAACAUCAAAUCGUACCCCAAACCGACACAGGUGGUCAGGUAGAGAAUACCAAGGCGCUUGAGAGAACUCGGGUGAAGGAACUAGGCAAAAUGGUGCCGUAACUUCGGGAGAAGGCACGCUGAUAUGUAGGUGAAGCGACUUGCUCGUGGAGCUGAAAUCAGUCGAAGAUACCAGCUGGCUGCAACUGUUUAUUAAAAACACAGCACUGUGCAAACACGAAAGUGGACGUAUACGGUGUGACGCCUGCCCGGUGCCGGAAGGUUAAUUGAUGGGGUUAGCGGUAACGCGAAGCUCUUGAUCGAAGCCCCGGUAAACGGCGGCCGUAACUAUAACGGUCCUAAGGUAGCGAAAUUCCUUGUCGGGUAAGUUCCGACCUGCACGAAUGGCGUAAUGAUGGCCAGGCUGUCUCCACCCGAGACUCAGUGAAAUUGAACUCGCUGUGAAGAUGCAGUGUACCCGCGGCAAGACGGAAAGACCCCGUGAACCUUUACUAUAGCUUGACACUGAACAUUGAGCCUUGAUGUGUAGGAUAGGUGGGAGGCUUUGAAGUGUGGACGCCAGUCUGCAUGGAGCCGACCUUGAAAUACCACCCUUUAAUGUUUGAUGUUCUAACGUUGGCCCGUAAUCCGGGUUGCGGACAGUGUCUGGUGGGUAGUUUGACUGGGGCGGUCUCCUCCUAAAGAGUAACGGAGGAGCACGAAGGUUGGCUAAUCCUGGUCGGACAUCAGGAGGUUAGUGCAAUGGCAUAAGCCAGCUUGACUGCGAGCGUGACGGCGCGAGCAGGUGCGAAAGCAGGUCAUAGUGAUCCGGUGGUUCUGAAUGGAAGGGCCAUCGCUCAACGGAUAAAAGGUACUCCGGGGAUAACAGGCUGAUACCGCCCAAGAGUUCAUAUCGACGGCGGUGUUUGGCACCUCGAUGUCGGCUCAUCACAUCCUGGGGCUGAAGUAGGUCCCAAGGGUAUGGCUGUUCGCCAUUUAAAGUGGUACGCGAGCUGGGUUUAGAACGUCGUGAGACAGUUCGGUCCCUAUCUGCCGUGGGCGCUGGAGAACUGAGGGGGGCUGCUCCUAGUACGAGAGGACCGGAGUGGACGCAUCACUGGUGUUCGGGUUGUCAUGCCAAUGGCACUGCCCGGUAGCUAAAUGCGGAAGAGAUAAGUGCUGAAAGCAUCUAAGCACGAAACUUGCCCCGAGAUGAGUUCUCCCUGACUCCUUGAGAGUCCUGAAGGAACGUUGAAGACGACGACGUUGAUAGGCCGGGUGUGUAAGCGCAGCGAUGCGUUGAGCUAACCGGUACUAAUGAACCGUGAGGCUUAACCUU
This 2902-nucleotide ribosomal RNA is filed under the name Escherichia coli HVH 184 (4-3343286). Its description in RNAcentral is "bacterial LSU rRNA". It matches the Rfam family "Bacterial large subunit ribosomal RNA". The record is from RNAcentral. Lineage: Bacteria; Pseudomonadati; Pseudomonadota; Gammaproteobacteria; Enterobacterales; Enterobacteriaceae.